This 447-nucleotide ribosomal RNA is filed under the name uncultured bacterium. Its description in RNAcentral is "bacterial SSU rRNA". It matches the Rfam family "Bacterial small subunit ribosomal RNA", at positions 355 to 825 of the family's 1533-position model. The record is from RNAcentral.
UGGGGAAUAUUGGACAAUGGGCGAAAGCCUGAUCCAGCCAUGCCGCGUGAAGGAUGAAGUAUUUCGGUAUGUAAACUUCGAAAGAAUAGGAAGAAUCAAUGACGGUACUAUUUAUAAGGUCCGGCUAACUACGUGCCAGCAGCCGCGGUAAUACGUAGGGACCAAGCGUUGUUCGGAUUUACUGGGCGUAAAGGGCGCGUAGGCGGCGCGGUAAGUCACUUGUGAAAUCUCCGGGCUUAACUCGGAACGGUCAGAUGAUACUGCUUUGCUAGAGUGCAGAAGGGGCAAUCGGAAUUCUUGGUGUAGCGGUGAAAUGCGUAGAUAUCAAGAGGAACACCUGAGGUGAAGACGGGUUGCUGGGCUGACACUGACGCUGAGGCGCGAAAGCCAGGGGAGCAAACGGGAUUAGAUACCCCCGUAGUCCCUGAGCGGGCUGGCAAGGCGCAU